UCACCACUGCGGGAGCUUGGCUCGCCGACGAUGUAAGUGAACUAUUCAUUUCGUGUAUUUUAUGUAUACGUCACUUUGUGUUUAUUAAAUGAAUAACCCAUACUUUUUUGGUGUUUCCUGCUACAGCACAUCGACCUGGCCAUGGACUUGCUGCGAGAUCGAGCUCAAAGACAUCCAAAAUUAUUUGAUGUCCAUGGUCGAGUCAUAUUAAACACCGAGUUCUUGCGUGCCGUUAUAAUAAAGUAUCAGUCGCUCGAACUUAUGGGUAACGAGUACACGGUGCCAGAAUAUAUGCUCGAGUGGGUGAUAGGAUUGUCACCGAGUGUCGGGGGAAAAUCAUGGGAGGGUUAUACACUUAUGUACAUUCCAGCAUGCAUCAAUAAACACUAUGUUACGCUGGAGAUCGUUUUUGCUGACUCGACUAUAUAUGUGUACGACCCAGAUCAUUCAUGUUUGACACA
This 461-nucleotide long non-coding RNA is filed under the name Olea europaea (common olive). Its description in RNAcentral is "long non-coding RNA (OEUR_LNC005995)". Lineage: Eukaryota; Viridiplantae; Streptophyta; Magnoliopsida; Lamiales; Oleaceae. The record is from RNAcentral.